AAUAUUAUAAGUUAUAUAUAAACUAUAAAUUUUCAAAAUUUAAAAAACUUUUAAAGUUAAUAUUU
Molecule: transfer RNA, 65 nt
Filed under: Didemnum vexillum
Lineage: Eukaryota; Metazoa; Chordata; Ascidiacea; Aplousobranchia; Didemnidae
Description: tRNA-Trp
Source: RNAcentral